CCGGGUGGUAGCGGACGGUGACCGCGCCGCCCGCGAGGGGCGGCAGCCGGCGCGGCAGCAUCGUCGCCUGCAGCCCGGUC
RNAcentral lists this transfer RNA (80 nucleotides) under Streptomyces nigrescens. RNAcentral's name for it is "tRNA-Ser". The record is from RNAcentral. Lineage: Bacteria; Bacillati; Actinomycetota; Actinomycetes; Kitasatosporales; Streptomycetaceae.